GAGCAUCUCUGGCUAAAUCACAAUCUGUGGUAGGAAUCUCAGACAAAAUGAAUAAACAUAUGCACAAUGUAUAUUAUCUAUACUUAUUAAAAAAAUAUUUAGAUAUAUAUAUAUAUAUUUAUAGUACUUAUAUUGGAUUAAACCAGCGUUAUUACUUACUAGACCCUAUAUUUUUUUUUUCAAACACAUUUUUAUUGCAUAAAUACAUAAAGCACCACAUAACCAAACAUACAUCACUUUCAUCAUCAUCAUCAUCAUCAUCAUCAUCAUCAUCAUCACUGUAUCAGUUUUAUAUCAACCCAUUUAACUGCUUGAGGCCAUAAUAUUAAAAGUACAAUCAACGUAACAAAGAUCCCGGAUGAUGACGUAGAUUGGUAUAUUUGUGACUCAUGUCCUCGGUCGAGGGCUGGUCAUGUCAGCAACUUUUUAUAACGAUUUUUAAGGAUCUAAUUAAAAACUAUUAUUUAAUUGCUAAAUAAAUGUUAUAAAAUACAUCAAAAUUAGAAAUAACUAAUGAACGCACAUGUAUCCAUCCUCACAAAAAUUCUUCCUUUCUUCCUUUCUUUCCUUCUUUCCUUUCUUUCUUUCUUUCUUUCUUUCUUUCUUCCUCCUUUUUAUUUCAUUAUUUUAAUUCGUUCAGACUAGUCUGCCCGAGGCCAACAAUGAAUAUCCCUCUAUGCUUUAUCAAAGGAAAAUAAAAGAUUUUUUUUUUUUUUAAUUUGGAAAAAUAAAAUUUCUUGUUUACAUAAGUUGUAGAAAAAUUCAAGCUGGACCUGCCGUCAUCUUAAAGGUAGUUAUUACCUGUAUUAUUUUAAGAAAAGUAUCCUUAUGUUACAACCCGACAAUUCAUGGAUAAAAUUUGUAAAAUUACAAAACAUUUCUACAGAAGCCUUAUAAUACACGGUACAAACAGACAUGAACAUUUCUUAUGCACUGCAUUUGUUUACAACGACCCGGUCUGCAACGAACUACUGGAAUAAUGUCCGCUGAUAACGUUUUGUUCCGGAAAUAAAAAGUGUUUAAACGUCAAACUAAAAUCCGGAUAGGAAAACCCGGACAAAGUAAUAGCGGUCCGAAUUGAGGCACAACUUUACCAGUCCGUGUAACGAUAUGACUUUACAAAGGGAAUUGUACCACAUGAGCAAGGUGUACAGUAUCAGUGGUAAAAUUGAUGACAAGGAAAUUGCACGAUAUCCCAUAAGA
Long non-coding RNA from Pecten maximus, 1203 nucleotides. RefSeq lists it as uncharacterized. The record is from RefSeq and is a predicted model, not a curated record. The transcript is spliced from 2 exons. NCBI's taxonomy places the organism in Eukaryota, Metazoa, Mollusca, Bivalvia, Pectinida, Pectinidae.